GACGAACGCUGGCGGCGUGCUUAACACAUGCAAGUCGAACGGAAAGGCCCUGCUUGCAGGGUGCUCGAGUGGCGAACGGGUGAGUAACACGUGGGUGAUCUGCCCCUUACUUUGGGAUAAGCCUGGGAAACUGGGUCUAAUACUGGAUAGGACCAUGCUGUAGGUGGUGUGGUGGAAAGAUUAGUUUCGGUAAGGGAUGAGCUCGCGGCCUAUCAGCUUGUUGGUGGGGUAAUGGCCUACCAAGGCGUCGACGGGUAGCCGGCCUGAGAGGGUGGACGGCCACAUUGGGACUGAGAUACAGCCCAGACUCCUACGGGGGGCAGCAGUGGGGAAUAUUGCACAAUGGGCGCAAGCCUGAUGCAGCGACGCCGCGUGGGGGAUGACGGCCUUCGGGUUGUAAACUCCUUUCAGCCAUGACGAAGCCUUCGGGUGACGGUAGUGGUAGAAGAAGCACCGGCUAACUACGUG
RNAcentral lists this ribosomal RNA (468 nucleotides) under uncultured bacterium. RNAcentral's name for it is "partial 16S ribosomal RNA". It matches the Rfam family "Bacterial small subunit ribosomal RNA", at positions 28 to 507 of the family's 1533-position model. The record is from RNAcentral.